CUUUUAAUGUCUGAGUAAAUUUGAUUCGCACUUACUGGAUUGUGUCAGGAUUUAUUCUGCAAUAUUGAGAGAUGGAUAGUGUUUGAACUGAAAACUCGUAUCCAAGGCUUGUAAAAUAUCAAGUGGUUUUAGAUUUUAAAUAUUUUAUUAGCGUGUUUUAUAUGGAAUAAUUGUCUACAAAAUGAACAGUGAAACGUUUUUUAGAUUUUAAAGAUACCAAGGACAGUGUUUUGAACAGUAAAUGCUAUUGCGAGGGCAGGAGUAUUUUAAUUAUAGUCUAUAACACUAUGUUAUAUGGAGAUAUAAUAGUGAUCCGGCUAUGAAACGAUUGGACUGUGUAAGAUAUAUAGUUAACUACGUUUCCAUGGUGAUGGAUUAGUCCGCAUGCUGUAUAUAUGUUACUGUUAUAUAAAUUGUUAUAAUAACUACCUACGUAUACUGAUUUUAUGAGUGCCCCGUGUGUAAGGGUUAGGGUGCAAAUAAGGGUGCAAAUUGGAAUUACGCUAUAGAAGCGAAGCUCCUGCUAGAGGAGGAAGAUAAAGACUAGUUCAGAGUUCAGUUCAGAGACUAUGAAAUAAUAUUACGAUUGGAAGGUGUCCGGAUUCAGUUUUGUACAAGGUUCAUUUUCCUUUUUAAUUUGUCUUUUCUCUAGACGAAUUAUUCACAAUGACAUGUAGGAUACUAUGAACGGAUUUAGCACAUCGUUACAAAUCAAAGUUCUGAUGUUCUGUUUACUCAGAUAAGCCAAACUGAUUAUUUCAGGGCUAUGAACAAUUUAGAAACAAAAUGAG
RNAcentral lists this long non-coding RNA (791 nucleotides) under Mytilus galloprovincialis (Mediterranean mussel). The record is from RNAcentral. Lineage: Eukaryota; Metazoa; Mollusca; Bivalvia; Mytilida; Mytilidae.